RNAcentral lists this unclassified non-coding RNA (432 nucleotides) under soil metagenome. Its description in RNAcentral is "partial contains 5.8S ribosomal RNA, internal transcribed spacer 2, and large subunit ribosomal RNA". The stretch from base 1 to 120 matches the Rfam family "5.8S ribosomal RNA", at positions 35 to 154 of the family's 154-position model. The record is from RNAcentral.
GAUGAAGAACGCAGCGAAAUGCGAUACGUAAUGUGAAUUGCAGAAUUCAGUGAAUCAUCGAAUCUUUGAACGCAUAUUGCGCUCUCUGGUAUUCCGGAGAGCAUGCUUGUUUGAGUAUCAGUAAACACCUCAACUUCCAUAUCUUUUUUGAAAUGGGAGUUGGACUUGAGUGAUCCCAACGCUUUUCCUCACCGAAAAGUGGCGGGUUACUUGAAAUGCAGGUGCAGCUGGACUUUUCUCUGAGCUAUAAGCAUAUCUAUUUAGUCUGCCUAAAAAACAGAUUAUUACCUUUGCUGCAGCUAACAUAAAGGAGAUUAGUUCUUGUGCUGACUGAUGCAGGAUUCACAAAGACAGCUUCGGCCGACUUUGUAAACUCGAUCUCAAAUCAAGUAAGACUACCCUCUGAACUUAAGCAUAUCAAUAAGCGGAGGA